Molecule: long non-coding RNA, 1046 nt
Organism: Phyllostomus discolor (pale spear-nosed bat)
Lineage: Eukaryota; Metazoa; Chordata; Mammalia; Chiroptera; Phyllostomidae
Exons: 3
Source: RefSeq, a predicted model, not a curated record
UCAAAAUAUGCCUUGUCACACAUUCAACAAAGGAGAAAGGAUCACAAAGUUUGCAGUCUGAAAGGGUGCCACAUACCAAGUUAAGAGGGACAUGAAUGAGUACUCUCACUUAGGUGGUGGAAAUUGGUACGCUUACAUUUUUUAGGAAGAUGAAACUGUUUCCAGUUGGUGGACACAAUGUACUCACAGAAGACAACCUACCAGCAGAAUCUAAUGUGAUUAGCAUGGAUGAACCUCUGUAAAUUCAAAGAUCUGCAGACCCUACCUGAGAGGGCCAAGCAGAGAGAGUGAAUGUACACAUCUGUGGAAAAAACAAUUCCAGGGGCAAUUUAGAUUGAGAACCAAAUGAAAAUAAGAGAAACCAUGAGUUUCUGAAGUUUGUUUAAAGACUGGGAGCAGGAAGAGAAAUGGACUUUUCUGUUAAUGAAGAUGCUCUACCUGAAGCAUCUUGUGUCAGAGCCACAGGACAAUCAGUGAUACAUGGCCCUACGAUACUAUGAUAAAGGCUUUGACUGCAUCCCCAGAAAGAGCAACAAGCCCCUGUGGAGCUUCAAGAGCAUCUGCCACAUAUUCACUACCACAGUUGACCUGUCAUCUGAAACUUGUAAUAUCUAGAGCAAUGUGUUGGCCACCAAUACCAUGUUGCGCACACUGAUGAGCUGUGCCCACCCCCUGUAUUUCCUGGACAUGUCGGGUCCAAGCUCUUCUUUGACAAAAGGCACAACUCUGACAUUGACCUCCUGACAGUGAGUGAGACGGCCAAUGAGCAUGUCAGGGUGAAGGUAAUUUCUUCAAUUUGCCCUAAAACCUGGCCAUCUGUGCCAUUAAGGAGCAUGUAUGAGAUCAUGGCCACUUAAUUUGAAGGUUCAGAUUCACAGAUAAUAAAGAUCCCCAAUUCAAAGGUGAAUAGUUAAGCACUUUAUUAAGCAAGACCAAAAAGAAAAGCAAGAAUCAGGAGCAUCCAUCACCAGACAGGAAAUCACCUACACCCAAACACAGACACUGGGGAAUCCCAAGAGGCAGCAGUGGUCUGGGUUCGUCUGGGA